This 318-nucleotide ribosomal RNA is filed under the name Triticum aestivum (bread wheat). RNAcentral describes it as "partial small subunit ribosomal RNA". Lineage: Eukaryota; Viridiplantae; Streptophyta; Magnoliopsida; Poales; Poaceae. The record is from RNAcentral.
AUGCCUCCAUCUCCAUGGGCGGCAACCCCGGUGUUGCCCCUCCUCCUCCUGCUGCUGCUGCUCGUUCAGGGGAGCAUGGACAUGGACAUGGACAUGGGGGUGGAGGCGCCGAUGGGCUCGGAGGCGGCGCACGGGCGGCUGCUGUGGGCGACCGGCGGCGGGCGGAGGUACAUCAGCUACGACGCGCUGCGGGGGGACGCCGUGCCCUGCUCCCGGCCGGGCGUGCCCUACUACAACUGCCGCGUGAGCACCACCGCCAACCCCUACACCCGCGGCUGCGAGUCCAUCACCCGCUGCCGCGACGACGACCCUUCCUAG